GAUGAACGCUGGCGGCGUGCCUAAUACAUGCAAGUCGAGCGAACAGACGAGGAGCUUGCUUCUCUGACGUUAGCGGCGGACGGGUGAGUAACACGUGGAUACCCUACCUAUAAGACUGGGAUAACUUCGGGAAACCGGAUCUAAUACCCGAUAAUAUAUUGAACCGCAUGGUUCAAUAGUGAACGCCGGCUUUGCUGUCACUUAUAGAUGGAUCCGCGCCGCAUUAGCUAGUUGGUAAGGUAACGGCUUACCAAGGCAACGAUGCGUAGCCGACCUGAGAGGGUGAUCAGCCACACUGGAACUGAGACACGGUCCAGACUCCUACGGGAGGCAGCAGUAGGGAAUCUUCCGCAAUGGGCGAAAGCCUGACGGAGCAACGCCGCGUGAGUGAUGAAGGUCUUCGGAUCGUAAAGCUCUGUUAUUAGGGAGGAAGAGAUGUGUAAGUAACUAUGCACGUCUUGACGGUACCUAAUCAGAAAGCCACGGCUAACUUCGUG
This 497-nucleotide ribosomal RNA is filed under the name uncultured bacterium. RNAcentral describes it as "partial 16S ribosomal RNA". It matches the Rfam family "Bacterial small subunit ribosomal RNA", at positions 28 to 507 of the family's 1533-position model. The record is from RNAcentral.